This 319-nucleotide ribosomal RNA is filed under the name uncultured eukaryote. RNAcentral's name for it is "partial 18S ribosomal RNA". It matches the Rfam family "Eukaryotic small subunit ribosomal RNA", at positions 1470 to 1796 of the family's 1831-position model. The record is from RNAcentral.
CCCUUAGAUGUUCUGGGCAGCACGCGCGCUACAAUGGUCUUCGCAAACGGAUGCAUUCUCGAAGGAGAAUGCCAAUCUUGGAAUCUAUGCCUUGGUCGGGACAGUUGCUGGCAAUUUUUCGACUCGAACCAGGAAUUCCUUGUAAUCGUGAUUCAUCACAUCACGAUGAAUACGUCCCUGCCCUUUGUACACACCGCCCGUCGCUCCUACCGAUCGAAGAGUUAGGUGAAUUGUUUUGAUCGAUAAGAUUUGACUAUGGUCAACUCUCGUUGUGAAAUUCUGUGAAUCUGACUGUUUAGAGGAAGGAAAAGUCGUAACA